AGGACGAACGCUGGCGGCGUGCUUAACACAUGCAAGUCGAGCGGAAAGGCCCUUCGGGGUACUCGAGCGGCGAACGGGUGAGUAACACGUGAGCAACCUGCCCUUAGCUUCGGGAUAGCUCCGGGAAACCGGAAUUAAUACCGAAUAUGAUUUUUGCUGACAUCAGCAGAAGUGGAAAGUUUUUCGGCUAGGGAUGGACUCGCGGCCUAUCAGCUAGUUGGUGAGGUAACGGCCCACCAAGGCGACGACGGGUAGCCGGCCUGAGAGGGCGACCGGCCACGACUGGGACUGAGACACGGCCCAGACUCCUACGGGAGGCAGCAGUGGGGAAUAUUGCGCAAUGGGCGAAAGCCUGACGCAGCGACGCCGCGUGGGGGGAUGAAGGCCUUCGGGUUGUAAACCCCUUUCAGCAGGGACGAAGCGAAAGUGACGGUACCUGCAGAAGAAGCGCCGGCUAACUACGUGCCAGCAGCCGC
This 476-nucleotide ribosomal RNA is filed under the name uncultured bacterium. Its description in RNAcentral is "SSU rRNA". It matches the Rfam family "Bacterial small subunit ribosomal RNA", at positions 26 to 518 of the family's 1533-position model. The record is from RNAcentral.